This 522-nucleotide long non-coding RNA is filed under the name Cyanistes caeruleus (blue tit). RNAcentral describes it as "lncRNA (ENSCCEG00000013980.1)". Lineage: Eukaryota; Metazoa; Chordata; Aves; Passeriformes; Paridae. The record is from RNAcentral.
CUCGAUGUUACUGCUUUAACUAAGACUUUUCAGCCAUUUAGGCAAUUUCUCUGCUCAUUUCAUGGCCUGAGGUCAAUGUUCUUUUCCUCAAAGGAUUUCCAAAAUGUAGGGAACUGCAUUAAAUAAUUUGCUUGUUUUUUUUUCUAAUGCUUUCUGAGAUUCAUCAGUUAGUAAUGAUAUUUCUCUUCUAUUCUGUUUACUAAUUUCUUAUUUUAACUUUUUCUCAGUUCCAGGUUGACUUCUGCCUUGCUGCUAGAACCAGUUACUUGUGAAACUAGAACACAAGGUAUGAUGGCACGCCUCAAGUGGACUCAGCUUCCACAUCUGAGCUAUGACAAACCAGCUUUCAAGCCUCCAGACAUCAUGAAGUUCCCAACUCUUCUUCCAACCAAAUCACAUGGUUUGAGGUGUCAAAAUCAAGAUGUGGAAAUGAGGCGGCAAUCAUGUAACAAGUUGCUGGAAACAACAGUGAUUACACACCAGUGAUCCUGAAGUUGCGUGCAGGACAGCGGCAGCUCGGCA